Molecule: long non-coding RNA, 577 nt
Organism: Rhinolophus ferrumequinum (greater horseshoe bat)
Lineage: Eukaryota; Metazoa; Chordata; Mammalia; Chiroptera; Rhinolophidae
Exons: 2
Source: RefSeq, a predicted model, not a curated record
GGAGGGAGGAUGGUGGGUGGGCCUCCAGCCAGGGUCAGCAGGCUCAGGCCUCAGGGUUUGUCCUCCCGGAAUGUGGCUGUCGGCCCCUAAGCGACCCUCUCCGGUGCCAUCGAGACGCCCCCGGCCUAGGCGCUGCCCGCCUCCCCCAGCUCCACCACGUACUGGAGUCCAAGUAAAAGCCGGGGCGCGGAGGACCCAGUCCCGGGUCCCGCCACGCGCUUCGCGAAGCGAGCUGCUAGAGGAGUAAGAGACACUGGGGCAACACAGGUCCGCGGGGACAGCAUCUCGCGGAAAGUUAGCCCCGGGCAAGUACGCCCCACCCGGACGAACCGGCUUGAAAGGGGGAGGAUUAGACAGAGGGACUGCCCAGGGACAGGAGGUCUCAGGAAAACCCUAUGAAAAGACUGUUCCACAGGCUGCCAACCCGAUGUAAGGACAACUGCAAUCCAACUCUACAUUUUGUGUUAUAUUGACCGGGCCAGACUGCAGGAUUUAAUUAAUUGCUUCAUUUUUAUUUCCUUAUUUUGUUUGUAAAUGCUUAUGCUGAAAACAGCCUAUUAAAUUAUAAGAAUGUGAA